RNAcentral lists this non-coding RNA (106 nucleotides) under human gut metagenome. RNAcentral's name for it is "THF riboswitch". It matches the Rfam family "THF (Tetrahydrofolate) riboswitch aptamer". From Rfam's summary of the family: THF riboswitch presents a pseudoknot that joins P1-P2 and the loop of P3 and two THF binding. The record is from RNAcentral.
GCAGAGUAGAUUUUGAUGCGUUAAGUGACUGCUGGACGGGAAGUUGCCACAGUACGAAAAGCAUUCUUUGGUGAAUGCUUGCGGUAUCAUCAUCGCAUUCCGCUGC